RNAcentral lists this ribosomal RNA (119 nucleotides) under Pteropus alecto (black flying fox). The record is from RNAcentral. Lineage: Eukaryota; Metazoa; Chordata; Mammalia; Chiroptera; Pteropodidae.
GUCUACAGCCAUGCCAGCCUGAACAUGCCCGAUCCCGUCUGAUCUUGGAAGCUAAGCAGGGUCGGGCCUGGUUAGUACUUGGAUGGGAGACCACCUAGGAAUACCAGAUGCUGUAGGCG